Molecule: ribosomal RNA, 256 nt
Filed under: uncultured bacterium
Lineage: Bacteria
Description: partial 16S ribosomal RNA
Rfam family: Bacterial small subunit ribosomal RNA
Source: RNAcentral
CGAAUACUUUGGUGGCGACCGGCGCACGGGUGCGUAACGCGUAUGCAACCUACCUUUAACAGGGGCAUAACACUGAGAAAUUGGUACUAAUUCCCCAUAACGUUCGAGAAGGCAUCUUCUUGGGUUAAAAACUCCGGUGGUUAAAGAUGGGCAUGCGUUGUAUUAGCUAGUUGGUGAGGUAACGGCUCACCAAGGCAACGAUACAUAGGGGGACUGAGAGGUUAACCCCCCACAUUGGUACUGAGACACGGACCAA